CCUACGGGGGGCAGCAGUAGGGAAUAUUGCACAAUGGGGGAAACCCUGAUGCAGCGACGCCGCGUGAAGGAUGAAGUAUUUCGAUAUGUAAACUUCUAUCAGCAAGGAAGAAAAUGACGGUACUUGACUAAGAAGCCCCGGCUAAAUACGUGCCAGCAGCCGCGGUAAUACGUAUGGGGCAAGCGUUAUCCGGAUUUACUGGGUGUAAAGGGCGUGUAGGCGGGCCUGUAAGUCAGAAGUGAAAUCUGGGGGCUUAACCCCCAAACUGCUUUUGAAACUGCGGGUCUUGAGUGAUGGAGAGGCAG
This 305-nucleotide ribosomal RNA is filed under the name uncultured bacterium. RNAcentral describes it as "bacterial SSU rRNA". It matches the Rfam family "Bacterial small subunit ribosomal RNA", at positions 338 to 660 of the family's 1533-position model. The record is from RNAcentral.